RNAcentral lists this ribosomal RNA (253 nucleotides) under uncultured bacterium. Its description in RNAcentral is "partial 16S ribosomal RNA". It matches the Rfam family "Bacterial small subunit ribosomal RNA", at positions 524 to 776 of the family's 1533-position model. The record is from RNAcentral.
CACGUAGGGCGCAAGCGUUGUCCGGAAUUAUUGGGCGUAAAGAGCUCGUAGGCGGUCUGUUGCGUCCGCUGUGAAAACUCGGGGCUUAACCCCGAGCCUGCAGUGGAUACGGGCAGACUAGAGGUAGGUAGGGGAGAAUGGAAUUCCCGGUGUAGCGGUGAAAUGCGCAGAUAUCGGGAGGAACACCGGUGGCGAAGGCGGUUCUCUGGGCCUUACCUGACGCUGAGGAGCGAAAGCUAGGGUAGCAAACGGG